GUGCCUGAAAUUUAGAAACAUUUAGAAAAGAAAUAUCACCAAUAAAUACACAAAGAUAAAUAUGAUUUAUUUUACUGUUUAUAAUUCAUAUAUAUAUAUCCAAACUGAGAGAGGAUUUACAAAGUGAAUGUAUAUGCAACAAUUGGGUCAUUUGCAGGUAAUGCUGUUAUGAAAAUCUGCAUAUUGAUGGUAAAACAAAGAACAAAGUUAGUGUGGAAAGAGGUCUGUGGAAAGAUGAUGCAAGUGUAGAUUAUUGUCGGCGGUGUGAUUAUUGGUAAAAGAAAACAGCUUGUUGAAAAGAAUUGUGGCCCUCGAAUCAUUUGUUUGGCAAAAAUCCAACACACUUACACUAUUAGGAAGAACAUCAAAAAUAAACUGCAGCUGUCUGUGGAGAACAUCUCAUUUGAAGUUGCAGACACAGUGAAAUUGGUUUACCAAUAGACAAAGUCAAACAAUUCUAAUACAAUUGAAAUCAUGUUUCUCCAGAGCCUAUAUUUUGUACAAACACCACACACAUACAAACUUAGACAUGCAUUCAGCUUUAUACUGAACUCUUAAUAUGAUGUUUAUGUGUGAAAUUUAAUUUAUCAAGAUAGCAUACAUACAUGAUGAUAUACAUACAAAUACACA
Octopus sinensis (East Asian common octopus) is the source of this 630-nucleotide long non-coding RNA. RefSeq lists it as uncharacterized. Lineage: Eukaryota; Metazoa; Mollusca; Cephalopoda; Octopoda; Octopodidae. The transcript is spliced from 3 exons. The record is from RefSeq and is a predicted model, not a curated record.